This 477-nucleotide ribosomal RNA is filed under the name Neisseria sicca. Its description in RNAcentral is "bacterial SSU rRNA". It matches the Rfam family "Bacterial small subunit ribosomal RNA", at positions 30 to 497 of the family's 1533-position model. Lineage: Bacteria; Pseudomonadati; Pseudomonadota; Betaproteobacteria; Neisseriales; Neisseriaceae. The record is from RNAcentral.
AUUGAACGCUGGCGGCAUGCUUUACACAUGCAAGUCGGACGGCAGCACAGAGAAGCUUGCUUCUUGGGUGGCGAGUGGCGAACGGGUGAGUAACAUAUCGGAACGUACCGAGCAGUGGGGGAUAACUAAUCGAAAGAUUAGCUAAUACCGCAUAUCUUCUGAGGAAGAAAGCAGGGGACCAUUUGGCCUUGCGCUGUUUGAGCGGCCGAUAUCUGAUUAGCUAGUUGGUGGGGUAAAGGCCUACCAAGGCGACGAUCAGUAGCGGGUCUGAGAGGAUGAUCCGCCACACUGGGACUGAGACACGGCCCAGACUCCUACGGGAGGCAGCAGUGGGGAAUUUUGGACAAUGGGCGCAAGCCUGAUCCAGCCAUGCCGCGUGUCUGAAGAAGGCCUUCGGGUUGUAAAGGACUUUUGUCAGGGAAGAAAAGGGCGGGGUUAAUACCCCUGUCUGAUGACGUACCUGAAGAUAGCCCCGCA